This 447-nucleotide ribosomal RNA is filed under the name uncultured bacterium. RNAcentral's name for it is "partial 16S ribosomal RNA". It matches the Rfam family "Bacterial small subunit ribosomal RNA", at positions 330 to 794 of the family's 1533-position model. The record is from RNAcentral.
ACCAGACUCCUACGGGAGGCAGCAGUGGGGGAUAUUGCACAAUGGGGGGAACCCUGAUGCAGCGACGCCGCGUGGGUGAAGAAGCGCCUCGGCGCGUAAAGCCCUGUCAGCAGGGAAGAAAAUGACGGUACCUGAAGAAGAAGCCCCGGCUAACUACGUGCCAGCAGCCGCGGUAAUACGUAGGGGGCAAGCGUUAUCCGGAUUUACUGGGUGUAAAGGGGGCGCAGACGGCGAUGCAAGCCAGGAGUGAAAGCCCGGGGCCCAACCCCGGGACUGCUCUUGGAACUGCGUGGCUGGAGUGCAGGAGGGGCAGGCGGAAUUCCUGGUGUAGCGGUGAAAUGCGUAGAUAUCAGGAGGAACACCGGUGGCGAAGGCGGCCUGCUGGACUGCAACUGACGUUGAGGCCCGAAAGCGUGGGGAGCAAACAGGAUUAGAUACCCCGGUAAU